GAAUGGAAAGCCCGGUGCAAGCGGGGUACCAGCCACUUUGGCAAAUCCGGGUGGCAAUGGGAAGCCGUGAUGCGGAGCGAAAUAAAGUAGCGAAGUCCGUGAGCCAUGCGUCAAGAAAAGCCGCUAUCGUUUAUACCGUACCCGUACCGUAAACCGACACAGGUGGAUGAGGAGAGAAUCCUAAGGCCGGCGGAAGAAGCAUUGUCAAGGAACUCGGCAAAAUGGCCCCGUAACUUAGGGAUAAGGGGUGCCUGGGAAACCAGGCCGCAGAGAAUAGGCUCAAGCAACUGUUUAGCAAAAACACAGGUCUAUGCGAAACCGAAAGGUGAGGUAUAUGGGCUGACGCCUGCCCGGUGCUGGAAGGUUAAGAGGAGAGGUUAGCGGUAACGCGAAGCUUUGAAUUUAAGCCCCAGUAAACGGCGGCCGUAACUAUAACGGUCCUAAGGUAGCGAAAUUCCUUGUCGGGUAAGUUCCGACCCGCACGAAAGGCGUAAUGAUUUGAGCGCUGUCUCGACAAUGCAUCCGGUGAAAUUGAAGUACCAGUGAAGAUGCUGGUUACCUGCGCCAGGACGGAAAGACCCCAUGGAGCUUUACUCCAGUCUGGUACUGGGACUCGGUAUUGCAUGUACAGGAUAGGUGGGAGGCUGAGAAAUGGUAACGCCAGUUGCCAUGGAGCCGCUGUUGGGAUACCACCCUUGCAGUAUUGGGUUUCUAACCAGCCGCCGUGACCCGGCGGUGGGACAAUGCCAGACGGGGAGUUUGACUGGGGCGGUCGCCUCCGAAAGGGUAUCGGAGGCGCCCAAAGGUUCCCUCAGAAUGGACGGAAACCAUUCGAAGAGUGCAAAGGCAGAAGGGAGCUUGACUGCGACACCGACGGGUGGAGCAGGUACGAAAGUAGGGCUUAGUGAUCCGGUGGUAUUAAGUGGGAAUGCCAUCGCUCAACGGAUAAAAGCUACCCUGGAUAACAGGCUUAUCACUCCCAAGAGUUCACAUCGACGGAGUGGUUUGGCACCUCGAUGUCGGCUCAUCGCAUCCUGGGGCUGUAGUAGGUCCCAAGGGUUGGGCUGUUCGCCCAUUAAAGCGGUACGCGAGCUGGGUUCAGAACGUCGUGAGACAGUUCGGUCCCUAUCCGGCGUGGGCGUAGGAUAUCUGAGAGGAGCUGUCCUUAGUACGAGAGGACCGGGAUGGACGGGCCGCUGGUGCAUCGGUUAGACUGCCAAGUCUACGGCCGAGUAGCCAAGCCCGGAAGGGAUAAACGCUGAAGGCAUCUAAGCGUGAAGCCCCCCUUAAGAUGAGAUAUCCCAUUCGAAAGAAGUAAACCCCCUUGAAGACGACGAGGUAGAUAGGGCAGAGGUGGAAGUGCAGCAAUGCAUGGAGCUGACUGUUACUAAUCGGGUGAGGGCUUGACC
RNAcentral lists this ribosomal RNA (1409 nucleotides) under metagenome. RNAcentral's name for it is "bacterial LSU rRNA". It matches the Rfam family "Bacterial large subunit ribosomal RNA", at positions 1496 to 2925 of the family's 2925-position model. The record is from RNAcentral.